GAUGAACGCUAGCGACAGGCUUAACACAUGCAAGUCGAGGGGCAGCACAGGUAGCAAUACCGGGUGGCGACCGGCGCACGGGUGAGUAACGCGUAUGCAACUUACCUAUCAGAGGGGGAUAACCCAGCGAAAGUCGGACUAAUACCGCAUGAAGCAGGGGUCCCGCAUGGGGAUAUUUGCUAAAGAUUCAUCGCUGAUAGAUAGGCAUGCGUUCCAUUAGGCAGUUGGCGGGGUAACGGCCCACCAAACCGACGAUGGAUAGGGGUUCUGAGAGGAAGGUCCCCCACAUUGGUACUGAGACACGGACCAAACUCCUACGGGAGGCAGCAGUGAGGAAUAUUGGUCAAUGGCCGAGAGGCUGAACCAGCCAAGUCGCGUGAGGGAUGAAGGUUCUAUGGAUCGUAAACCUCUUUUAUAAGGGAAUAAAGUGCGGGACGUGUCCCGUUUUGUAUGUACCUUAUGAAUAAGGAUCGGCUAACUCCGUG
Molecule: ribosomal RNA, 485 nt
Filed under: uncultured bacterium
Lineage: Bacteria
Description: partial 16S ribosomal RNA
Rfam family: Bacterial small subunit ribosomal RNA
Source: RNAcentral